RNAcentral lists this unclassified non-coding RNA (378 nucleotides) under plant metagenome. RNAcentral's name for it is "partial contains 5.8S ribosomal RNA, internal transcribed spacer 2, and large subunit ribosomal RNA". The stretch from base 1 to 105 matches the Rfam family "5.8S ribosomal RNA", at positions 50 to 154 of the family's 154-position model. The record is from RNAcentral.
GAAAUGCGAUAAGUAAUGUGAGUUGCAGAAUUCAGUGAAUCAUCGAAUCUUUGAACGCACCUUGCGCUCCUUGGUAUUCCUUGGAGCAUGCCUGUUUGAGUAUCAUGAAAUCUUCAAAGUAAAUCUUUUGUUAACUCAAUUGGUUUCUACUUUGGUAUUGGAGGUCUUUGCAGCUUCACACCUGCUCCUCUUUGUUCAUUAGCUGGAUCUCAGUGUUAUGCUUGGUUCCACUCGGCGUGAUAAGUUAUCUAUCGCUGAGGACACUGUAAAAGGUUGCCAAGGUAAAUGCAGAUGAACCGCUUCUAAUAGUCCAUUGACUUGGACAAUACUUUUAUGAUCUGAUCUCAAAUCAGGUAGGACUACCCGCUGAACUUAAGC